RNAcentral lists this ribosomal RNA (483 nucleotides) under uncultured bacterium. Its description in RNAcentral is "partial 16S ribosomal RNA". It matches the Rfam family "Bacterial small subunit ribosomal RNA", at positions 355 to 830 of the family's 1533-position model. The record is from RNAcentral.
UAGGGAAUCUUCCACAAUGGACGAAAGUCUGAUGGAGCAACGCCGCGUGAGUGAUGAAGGGUUUCGGCUCGUAAAACUCUGUUGUUGGAGAAGAACAGGUGUCAGAGUAACUGUUGACAUCUUGACGGUAUCCAACCAGAAAGCCACGGCUAACUACGUGCCAGCAGCCGCGGUAAUACGUAGGUGGCAAGCGUUGUCCGGAUUUAUUGGGCGUAAAGCGAGCGCAGGCGGUUUCUUAGGUCUGAUGUGAAAGCCUUCGGCUUAACCGGAGAAGUGCAUCGGAAACCAGGAGACUUGAGUGCAGAAGAGGACAGUGGAACUCCAGGUGUAGCGGUGAAAUGCGUAGAUAUAUGGAAGAACACCAGUGGCGAAGGCGGCUGUCUGGUCUGUAACUGACGCUGAGGCUCGAAAGCAUGGGUAGCGAACAGGAUUAGAUACCCUGGUAGUCCAUGCCGUAAACGAUGAGUGCUAAGUGUUGGAGGG